Molecule: unclassified non-coding RNA, 333 nt
Filed under: soil metagenome
Description: partial contains 5.8S ribosomal RNA, internal transcribed spacer 2, and large subunit ribosomal RNA
Rfam family: 5.8S ribosomal RNA (bases 1-120)
Source: RNAcentral
GAUGAAGAACGUAGCGAAAUGCGAUAACUAGUGUGAAUUGCAGAUUUCAGUGAAUCAUCGAGUCUUUGAACGCACAUUGCGCCCCCUGGUAUUCCGGGGGGCAUGCCUAUUCGAGCGUCGUGGUCACGCUUCAAGCCCGGCUUGAUGAUGGGGAGCGCCCUCUCUCGGGGGGGGGGCCUCCUUCAAAUGCAACUCCGGUCGCCUCGUUGGCUGGGAGCGCAGCAGCAGUGCGCUUCCCCGAGGCGACCGGAUGCCCCUCGUGGGCUCGAGAUUGCUAGACCUCGAAUUAGGCAGGGAUACCCGCUGAACUUAAGCAUAUCAAUAAGCGGAGGA